GCAAGGGAUGCCUCGAUGUGGGACAAGUAGGUUCACUGAUCUUAAGGGAGAGGUUUUGCAUCACUUUAUGUUUGUGUCAAGUUUCAGCGAGUACACUGUGGUGGAUGUUGCUCAUCUCAUCAAACUUGAUCCUAUUCUCAUCUCUCCUGACAAGGCAUGCCUCCUCGGUUGUGGCGUAUCGACAGGGGUUGGUGCUGCUUGGAGAACAGCAAAUGUGGAAAAGGGGUCUACUGUUGCCAUUUUUGGGCUGGGGACUGUAGGCUUAGCAGUUGCUCAAGGAGCAAGAAUAUGUGGAGCAGCUAGGAUUAUUGGGAUAGAUGUCAACCCAAAUAAAUUAACAUUGGCAAAAGAGUUCGGAGUCACAGAGGUUGUUAAUUCUACAAGCAUUGGAGACAAAUCUGUGAGCCAGGUAAUCAAUGAGACUACCGAUGGGGGUGCAGACUAUUGUUUUGAAUGUGUU
RNAcentral lists this unclassified non-coding RNA (460 nucleotides) under Hevea brasiliensis (rubber tree). Lineage: Eukaryota; Viridiplantae; Streptophyta; Magnoliopsida; Malpighiales; Euphorbiaceae. The record is from RNAcentral.